UAGUCCACGCCGUAAACGAUGGAUACUAGCUGUCGGGACUUCGGUCUCGGCGGCCAAGCGAAAGUGAUAAGUAUCCCACCUGGGGAGUACGUUCGCAAGAAUGAAACUCAAAGGAAUUGACGGGGGCCCGCACAAGCGGUGGAGCAUUUGGUUUAAUUCGAUGAUACGCGAGGAACCUUACCAGGGCUUAAAUGUAGUAUGACAGGACUAGAGAUAGUUUUUUCUUCGGACAUAUUACAAGGUGCUGCAUGGUUGUCGUCAGCUCGUGCCGUGAGGUGUCAGGUUAAGUCCUAUAACGAGCGCAACCCCUACCGUUAGUUGCCAGCAUGUAAAGAUGGGGACUCUAACGGGACUGCCGGUGCAAACCGUGAGGAAGGUGGGGACGACGUCAAAUCAUCACGGCCCUUACGUCCUGGGCCACACACGUGCUACAAUGGCCGGUACAGGGGAAGCCACCCCGCAAGGGGCGCGGAUCUAUAAAACCGGUCACAGUUCGGAUCGGGGUCUGCAACUCGACCCCGUGAAGCUGGAAUCGCU
Molecule: ribosomal RNA, 537 nt
Filed under: uncultured bacterium
Lineage: Bacteria
Description: bacterial SSU rRNA
Rfam family: Bacterial small subunit ribosomal RNA
Source: RNAcentral